Molecule: unclassified non-coding RNA, 325 nt
Filed under: Hevea brasiliensis (rubber tree)
Lineage: Eukaryota; Viridiplantae; Streptophyta; Magnoliopsida; Malpighiales; Euphorbiaceae
Source: RNAcentral
CAGGUAUCACCAAGUGAACCAAUUGAGAGUAUCAUGACACCAUUAAAAGAAGCUCAACCACUACUUGGUACCUUGGAAUUGAAGAAAGUGGUCAUGCGCUUNNNNNNGUGCCAAUUGUGGACGAAUGGGGUUGUUGCGUUGGACUAUUGCAUCGUGAAGACUGCUUUGAGUUGAAUGCCACACUUACGACAAUGAUGAGAAGCCCACCUCCUUGUGUUACAACCACAACAUCUAUUGGCCAUGUGGUUGAUCUAAUUUUGGAAAAGAAACAUAGAAUGGUAAUAGUUAUAAAAUACAGCAACUUACAUGGUACUACAUACGGCGC